Molecule: non-coding RNA, 25 nt
Filed under: Cricetulus griseus (Chinese hamster)
Lineage: Eukaryota; Metazoa; Chordata; Mammalia; Rodentia; Cricetidae
Source: RNAcentral
UUGGGCCUAACUCGGGCAGGCAGCU